Gigantopelta aegis is the source of this 566-nucleotide long non-coding RNA. RefSeq lists it as uncharacterized. Lineage: Eukaryota; Metazoa; Mollusca; Gastropoda; Neomphalida; Peltospiridae. The transcript has 3 exons. The record is from RefSeq and is a predicted model, not a curated record.
UAUGCUUAUUGCUGCGAAAGCGAUACUACGUACAUUCGUCUAACUUCAAAAAUGUGCGUAACGAUCGUUGUUUGACAUUUAUAAGCAUAUUUCUUUCAAACGUGUAUAAAUGUAACAUAUCAGUGCAUGGAUCUAGUACUACCUAAAGACGACAGCUACAGGUCUACUGUGCUCUUCUAUUUCAAUAUUUCCUGCAUAUGUUGAAUGGAUAUACCAAUAGAGGAGGUAAACGGGCUCCCCUCGUUAUAAGAAGCAAGAUGAAGAGGCAUGUUGUAUUGUUGAAUCACUCUCGCAACAGCCAACAAGUUCCUGGCUUUGAUACAAUGUCUAAAAACAAAACAAUAUUAGUCUUCAUAGCGUAGAUUUGGCGAAAAGGAAUUUGCUCGUGAACAGCACAAGGAGCAGAAAACAGAAAUCGAAGAACUUUCACGUCACGUAUACAUACAUACAUGUAUAUAAAAACCCUGGACGAUCUAUUAUCAAUUGCAAAACUUUUUUUUUUUUUAAAUAUAAUAAUAUGCCAUAUACAAAAGUGGGAUUAGAACGAAAGUUAAGAUGUAUGGUAC